AACUGGGUCUAAUACUGGAUAUGACCUUCUGCUUCAUGGUGGUUGGUGGAAAGCUUUUGCGGUUUGGGAUGGGCCCGCGGCCUAUCAGCUUGUUGGUGGGGUAAUGGCCUACCAAGGCGACGACGGGUAGCCGACCUGAGAGGGUGAUCGGCCACACUGGGACUGAGACACGGCCCAGACUCCUACGGGAGGCAGCAGUGGGGAAUAUUGCACAAUGGGCGCAAGCCUGAUGCAGCGACGCCGCGUGAGGGAUGACGGCCUUCGGGUUGUAAACCUCUUUCGGCAGGGACGAAGCGCAAGUGACGGUACCUGCAGAAGAAGCACCGGCCAACUACGUGCCAGCAGCCGCGGUAAUACGUAGGGUGCGAGCGUUGUCCGGAAUUACUGGGCGUAAAGAGCUCGUAGGCGGUUUGUCGCGUCGUCUGUGAAAUUCUGCAACUCAAUUGCAGGCGUGCAGGCGAUACGGGCAGACUUGAGUACUACAGGGGAGACUGGAAUUCC
Molecule: ribosomal RNA, 501 nt
Filed under: Gordonia sp. (in: high G+C Gram-positive bacteria)
Lineage: Bacteria; Bacillati; Actinomycetota; Actinomycetes; Mycobacteriales; Gordoniaceae
Description: bacterial SSU rRNA
Rfam family: Bacterial small subunit ribosomal RNA
Source: RNAcentral